AUGGCGCAGGAGAGUAAGCCGGCGCUCGGGUGGGCGGCCAGAGACGCCUCCGGUCUCCUCUCCCCCUACAGCUUCUCACGAAGGGUUCAGAAGGAGGACGAUGUGACGAUCAGGGUGCUCUUCUGCGGGAUCUGCCACACGGACCUGCACGUCGCCAAGAACGAGUGGGGCAACGCCAUGUACCCCAUUGUUCCAGGGCAUGAGAUCGUCGGCGUCGUCACCGGCGUGGGCCGCGGCGUCCGGGGCUUCAAGGCCGGCGACAGGGUGGGCGUGGGCUCCUUCGUCGGCUCCUGCCGCGCGUGCGAGAGCUGCGUCAAGGGGUACGAGAACAACUGCCCCGCCCUCCUGCUCACCUGCAACGGCGUGGACUGCGACGGCGCCACCACUCAGGGGGGAUUCGCCGACGUCCUCGUCGUCAACCAGGACUACGUCCUCCGCGUCCCGGAGGGCCUGCCACCGGCCGGGGCAGCGCCUCUCCUCUGCGCCGGCGUCACGGUGUACAGCCCCAUGGUGCAGUACGGCCUGAACGCGCCGGGGAUGCUCCUUGGCGUCGUCGGCCUGGGCGGCCUCGGCCACAUGGCCGUCAAGUUCGGCAAGGCGUUUGGGAUGACGGUCACCGUGAUCAGCUCGUCGCCGAGGAAGCGCGCGGAGGCGGUCGAGCGCCUCGGUGCCGACAACUUCCUGGUCAGACACGACGCCGAAGAGAUGAAGGCAGCGGCGGGCACGAUGGACGGCAUCAUCGACACGGUGUCGGCGGGGCACCAGCUGCUGCCGCUGCUGGAGCUGCUGAAGCCGAUGGGGCAGAUGGUGCUGGUGGGCGUGCCGACCGAGCCCAUGGUGCUGCCGGCCUCGGCCAUCGUCACGGGCGGGAAGCGCCUGGCCGGGAGCGGCGUGGGCAGCGUCCGCGACUGCCAGGCAAUGCUGGACUUCGCGGGGGAGCACGGCAUCGCCGCGGAUGUCGAGGUCGUCAAGAUGGAGUAUGUUAACACGGCCAUGGAGCGACUCGAGAGGAACGAUGUCAGGUACCGCUUCGUCAUCGACGUCGCUGGCAGCAUCGGCUGCGCCGCGGUUUAG
Molecule: ribosomal RNA, 1074 nt
Filed under: Triticum aestivum (bread wheat)
Lineage: Eukaryota; Viridiplantae; Streptophyta; Magnoliopsida; Poales; Poaceae
Description: partial small subunit ribosomal RNA
Source: RNAcentral